Molecule: ribosomal RNA, 492 nt
Filed under: uncultured bacterium
Lineage: Bacteria
Description: partial 16S ribosomal RNA
Rfam family: Bacterial small subunit ribosomal RNA
Source: RNAcentral
AGUGAACGCUGGCGGUAGGCCUAACACAUGCAAGUCGAACGGCAGCACAGUAAGAGCUUGCUCUUACGGGUGGCGAGUGGCGGACGGGCGAGGAAUACAUCGGAAUCUACUUUUUCGUGGGGGAUAACGUAGGGAAACUUACGCUAAUACCGCAUACGACCUACGGGUGAAAGCAGGGGAUCUUCGGACCUUGCGCGAUUGAAUGAGCCGAUGUCGGAUUAGCUAGUUGGCGGGGUAAAGGCCCACCAAGGCGACGAUCCGUAGCUGGUCUGAGAGGAUGAUCAGCCACACUGGAACUGAGACACGGUCCAGACUCCUACGGGAGGCAGCAGUGGGGAAUAUUGGACAAUGGGCGCAAGCCUGAUCCAGCCAUACCGCGUGGGUGAAGAAGGCCUUCGGGUUGUAAAGCCCUUUUGUCGGGAAAGAAAAGCAGCAGGUUAAUACCCCGCUGUUCUGACGGUACCCAAAGAAUAAGCACCGGCUAACUUCGUG